GCCAGCAGCCAUUUCACCCUGCAGCUCUCAACUGGCUACCCACUGAAGUUAAGCAAGGUUGAGCCUGGUCAGUACCUGGAUGGGAGACCUCCUAGGAAGCUACGGUCGCUGCUGGAU
Molecule: ribosomal RNA, 117 nt
Filed under: Lepisosteus oculatus (spotted gar)
Lineage: Eukaryota; Metazoa; Chordata; Actinopteri; Semionotiformes; Lepisosteidae
Source: RNAcentral